RNAcentral lists this transfer RNA (70 nucleotides) under Mycolicibacterium sphagni. Its description in RNAcentral is "tRNA-His". It matches the Rfam family "tRNA". From Rfam's summary of the family: Transfer RNA (tRNA) molecules are approximately 80 nucleotides in length. Their secondary structure includes four short double-helical elements and three loops (D, anti-codon, and T loops). The record is from RNAcentral. Lineage: Bacteria; Bacillati; Actinomycetota; Actinomycetes; Mycobacteriales; Mycobacteriaceae.
CUAAGUAGCUUAGUGGUAAAGCUCCCGACUGUGACUCGGGCGUCGACUGUUCGAUUCAGUCCUUAAGCCA